GACGAACGCUGGCGGCGUGCUUAACACAUGCAAGUCGAACGGAAAGGCCCCUUUGGGGGUACUCGAGUGGCGAACGGGUGAGUAACACGUGAGUAACCUGCCCUUGACUUCGGGAUAACUUCAGGAAACUGGGGCUAAUACCGGAUAGGAAUCCUUGCUGCAUGGUGGGGGUUGGAAAGCUUCGGCGGUUUUGGAUGGACUCGCGGCUUAUCAGCUUGUUGGUGGGGUAGUGGCUUACCAAGGCUUUGACGGGUAGCCGGCCUGAGAGGGCGACCGGCCACAUUGGGCCUGAGAUCCGGCCCGGCCUCCUACGGGAGGAAGCAGUGGGGAUUAUGGCCCAUUGGGCGGAAGCUUGUGGCGGAACCCCCGCGGGCGGAAUAACGGCUUCGGGGUGUAAACCGGUUUCCGCAAGGGCGAAGCUUGUGGUGACGGUACCUGCAGAAGAAGCACCGGCUAACUACGUG
RNAcentral lists this ribosomal RNA (464 nucleotides) under uncultured bacterium. RNAcentral's name for it is "partial 16S ribosomal RNA". It matches the Rfam family "Bacterial small subunit ribosomal RNA", at positions 28 to 507 of the family's 1533-position model. The record is from RNAcentral.